Apodemus sylvaticus (European woodmouse) is the source of this 913-nucleotide long non-coding RNA. RefSeq lists it as uncharacterized. NCBI's taxonomy places the organism in Eukaryota, Metazoa, Chordata, Mammalia, Rodentia, Muridae. The transcript has 6 exons. The record is from RefSeq and is a predicted model, not a curated record.
AGCAGAUAAAAAGCUGCAGGAUCUCCAUGACACAGGGCAACAACAGGGUAACUGAGAGGAGUCCUGAUGAGGAUCCAGUAUUGACAGUGCAGCAGAAGCCAGAGGCCUCAAACCAGACUAAUGCCUUGUUGAAAUAAACAGCAAGGAAGAUGUUUGGAUGAAAGGGUAUAUACUGUGGCUCACUGGACUCUGCAGAAAAGAAGGCAGAAAGAUUGUAAAAGCCAGAGGAGCUGGAGGGCACCAAAGAAACAAGGUGUUAUGAAUAUUGGUGUCUGAAACUUUCAGGAAUUGAACCUGGAAGCCUUCCACAGGCUAAGCAAUGACAGCCCCCAGAGAAGAGCAGUAGAAAGGAGUGGAGUAAUCCUACUGUGAAGGUCUGAAGUGUCUUGUCUGUCACUUCUACCAUUUGAGGGUUUGGCUAGUUAAGGAACCACAGACUGAACUGUCACCAGAUAUCAAAUCUGCCAGCAAUUUUGCCUUGAUCCCCACCCCAGUUUCAAGAACUGUGAAGAAAGAAAGUUGUUUAGAAGGGCUAGAGGUUGAAAGUGUGGAAGAAAAAAGGUGGAGAAGGGUAGAAGAAAGAAGAACCCACAAAGCAGUUAAGGACAAGCUACUGAUAUUGUCCUUGCUCUUGGUUGACAUCAGAAUUUGAUGACUCCAGGAUCAUCUGGGAGAUUCGAAUCUGGUCAUGUCUGUGAAGGUUCCUCUUGAUUGGGUUAGCUGAGGUGAAAAGACCUGCCUCCCGUGUGUGUAUGGCUUAGUUCUGUGGCUGGAUCUUAGGCUAAGGAAAGAGAACUUAUCAGCAUGCACACAUUCAUUUCCUUCUUUUCCCAGUUUAGGAUAAAGUACAACCAACUCCCCUAAUUUUCUGGUACUACGAUGAUAUGAUUUCCCUGCUGUGAUAGACUGUGAU